CCCAGCUGUGUGACCUUGAGCAGG
RNAcentral lists this non-coding RNA (24 nucleotides) under Cricetulus griseus (Chinese hamster). The record is from RNAcentral. Lineage: Eukaryota; Metazoa; Chordata; Mammalia; Rodentia; Cricetidae.